CACGUUCGCGCCUAGUGUUCUCCAAUUAGAGAAGAGCGGGACGGUGCGGCGCAGUGCGACCGAGCGCUGCAUUCAAGUUCAUUACUUCCGUAGUGUGGCUGCCGCCGAGCGCCCUGACCGUGCUCUCGAUCUUCAAGUCUCUAUGACCAUCAAGCCGCGUGCUCGUCGUGCUAUUUGUUAUGAUAUAAUCUUAUGUCACGAAUUGCAGAAAAUCCUGUAAAAUAGCCUUCGAUCAUGAGUUACAGAAAAAAUCUAAUCACCUGGCGAAUCGUUGAAAAAAGGGAUAAAACGCAACUGUUGUUCAACAUUAUAACGGGGCCAAAGGGUUACGGGACCAUAUGCUCCAUAGCCCAAAUACCGGAUAUGGGUUAAGUAAUCACAGGCUUUUUCUGCAUCCUUUCUAUUAAACCCCUUUCAUUAAAUGAUCCGUAACUGUACUUUGGGGAUAAAAAACCACGACAUUUGCAAACUCCAGCGGUAUGUUAAUUGAAUUGCUAGCAAUUGGUGCCGUCGCCGAAAUGGUUUCUAGUAUCUGGUGUCUUUUUUUGUGUAACGUACAUCCGCUAUGGCAAAAAUACUGCUUAACCUUAUUAAUGAUUUCAGUUAGGUAUGUGAACAAUAUUGGAAUGAUGACAACACUAAAGUUACUGUUUAAAAAAACGAAUCGGUCCUAUUUGGUUGUAAGGACACCUACACCUACUACUACGCAAGUUAUUUUUAAUUUGGGUAUGAUUUAAAAAUAUGAAACCGGGAUCGUUUGCCAAAUAAGAGUUUUUUUUAAAUCUUUCAUAAAUAUACAUUGCUCUACAUAUUAACUUUAAAAUUGGUUAGUUCUAUAGUAUUAUAUUCUUCCUUUGGUUGCUGUAUGUUUACCCCUAGCCUUGUAUACCUCACUUUUGC
Molecule: long non-coding RNA, 900 nt
Organism: Zerene cesonia (dogface butterfly)
Lineage: Eukaryota; Metazoa; Arthropoda; Insecta; Lepidoptera; Pieridae
Exons: 3
Source: RefSeq, a predicted model, not a curated record